RNAcentral lists this ribosomal RNA (441 nucleotides) under uncultured bacterium. Its description in RNAcentral is "partial 16S ribosomal RNA". It matches the Rfam family "Bacterial small subunit ribosomal RNA", at positions 338 to 795 of the family's 1533-position model. The record is from RNAcentral.
CCUACGGGUGGCAGCAGUGGGGAAUAUUGCACAAUGGGGGAAACCCUGAUGCAGCGACGCCGCGUGAGUGAAGAAGUAUUUCGGUAUGUAAAGCUCUAUCAGCAGGGAAGAAAAAAGACGGUACCUGACUAAGAAGCCCCGGCUAACUACGUGCCAGCAGCCGCGGUAAUACGUAGGGGGCAAGCGUUAUCCGGAUUGACUGGGUGUAAAGGGAGCGUAGACGGCGCGGCAAGUCUGAAGUGAAAGGCAGGGGCUUAACCCCUGAACUGCUUUGGAAACUGGCAGGCUGGAGUGCCGGAGAGGCAGGCGGAAUUCCUAGUGUAGCGGUGAAAUGCGUAGAUAUUAGGAGGAACACCAGUGGCGAAGGCGGCCUGCUGGACGGUGACUGACGCUGAGGCUCGAAAGCGUGGGGAGCAAACAGGAUUAGAUACCCCGGUAGUC